AAAAAAAAAAUGAAAUAAAAAAAAAAAAAAUCAUUAAAAAACUUAAUUCUACAGUAACUUAUUUGAUUUGUGACAUGUUAAAUAUUUAGAUUGUCUGAUCACUCUAUAUAUAAACAUGAUCAUAGAAAAGAAGUUGCGGAAAUUGAAAAAGCCGGUUCAGAGUAUAGAAGACAUCUUUUAGGACAACCCGGUACAAAAGGAAAGCGUCUAUAGUUACCAGCAGUAAUUUAGACCCGAUCUAUUUCGCUUAACUUUUGAGAAUAUCUGUGCAAAGGAUUAUCAAUUUCGGUUGCAAUUCAAAAGGGUAUGUUGAUUAAUUUACUUAUCGAUUUAUCUAAACAGAAAUAUGCGGGGUCCGUACAGUAUAUUAGAAUACAUUAUGUCAUAUCUUCUCACGGUACAUGAAACUGAAAGUAUUUUCACGAUUUUAACUUGAAAAACUUAAUACUUGCAUGAAUCCGUAAGAAAAUCAAAAUAUACCAUAAAUAAAUCGGUAUGUUCACAAGAAAUGUGCUUUCACGGCAAUAAUUUUUAACAGUUCGUAAUAUAAAUAUUGCGUGGGUGAUGAAAAUGAAAAGAAAUCAUUUACGGAGUUUGAAAACUACUUGUUCUAGGAAUUUUUGAG
Molecule: long non-coding RNA, 625 nt
Filed under: Mytilus galloprovincialis (Mediterranean mussel)
Lineage: Eukaryota; Metazoa; Mollusca; Bivalvia; Mytilida; Mytilidae
Source: RNAcentral